Macaca mulatta (Rhesus monkey) is the source of this 515-nucleotide non-coding RNA. NCBI's taxonomy places the organism in Eukaryota, Metazoa, Chordata, Mammalia, Primates, Cercopithecidae. The record is from RefSeq and is a predicted model, not a curated record.
CAACCUCCUGGGCUCAAGUGAUCGUCCCACCUCAGCCUUAAAUCUGACUGAAAACAAAUGGUUGAAUGUGCUGCUAACAGAGAGGGCCAAAUGAUGAUGUCCAUUGUGGCAGCUGAACAAAGGGAGACUUACAGAACUGGAACUGCUGCCCUGAUAGCAACUGAAGCAGAAAGAGAAGAAAGGAGCUCACAACCAGGACACUUAAAACUCAGGCCAGGAGUCCAUCUACGAUCCAAUUACAGUCAGUCUGACAAGUCACUCUGAUCCAGCACGAUUAUCCUAUGCACAUGUUUUUUAAAGAACAAAAAAGGAAGUUUCAAGUUGGUGUGUAUGUUUUUUAAAGACACAAACCACAUCUUUCUACUCAAUUAAAUUCAAGGGAAAGGGAUUUUGGUCUUUAUAAUCAAGGGCGAUUAUGACCAACAGUGUGUCAUGGAAAGGCAAAAUGACGAAAAAGCAAUUCACAGCAGCAUCUUCUGUAUUCUCUCCAUAUUAAAACUGUUCUUUUUUUUUGA